GACGAACGCUGGCGGCGUGCCUAAUACAUGCAAGUUGAGCGCUGAAGGUUGGUACUUGUACCAACUGGAUGAGCAGCGAACGGGUGAGUAACGCGUGGGGAAUCUGCCUUUGAGCGGGGGACAACAUUUGGAAACGAAUGCUAAUACCGCAUAAAAACUUUAAACACAAGUUUUAAGUUUGAAAGAUGCAAUUGCAUCACUCAAAGAUGAUCCCGCGUUGUAUUAGCUAGUUGGUGAGGUAAAGGCCCACCAAGGCGAUGAUACAUAGCCGACCUGAGAGGGUGAUCGGCCACAUUGGGACUGAGACACGGCCCAAACUCCUACGGGAGGCAGCAGUAGGGAAUCUUCGGCAAUAGACGAAAGUCUGACCGAGCAACGCCGCGUGAGUGAAGAAGGUUUUCGGAUCGUAAAACUCUGUUGGUAGAGAAGAACGUUGGUGAGAGUGGAAAGCUCAUCAAGUGACGGUAACUACCCAGAAAGGGACGGCUAACUACGUG
RNAcentral lists this ribosomal RNA (497 nucleotides) under uncultured bacterium. RNAcentral's name for it is "partial 16S ribosomal RNA". It matches the Rfam family "Bacterial small subunit ribosomal RNA", at positions 28 to 507 of the family's 1533-position model. The record is from RNAcentral.